This 807-nucleotide ribosomal RNA is filed under the name Triticum aestivum (bread wheat). Its description in RNAcentral is "partial small subunit ribosomal RNA". Lineage: Eukaryota; Viridiplantae; Streptophyta; Magnoliopsida; Poales; Poaceae. The record is from RNAcentral.
AUGCACAUGGAGGCUUGUGCGGGCCAAGCUAGCAGCGCGCACAUCGUCCUGGUGCACGGCGCAUGCCUCGGCGGCUGGUCCUGGUUCAAGGUGGCGACGCGGCUCAGGUCGGCCGGGCACCGCGUCAGCACGCCUGACCUCGCGGCGUCCGGCGUCGACCCCAGGCCGCUGCGCGAGGUGCCGACGUUCCGCGACUACACCAAGCCGCUGCUGGACCUCCUGGAGUCCCUCCCGCCGGGCGAGAAGGUGGUCCUCGUCGGCCACAGCCUCGGCGGCGUGAACAUCGCCCUCGCCUGCGAGCUGUUCCCGGAGAAGAUCGCCGCUGCGGUGUUCGUCGCCGCCUUCAUGCCGGACCACAGGUCGCCGCCGUCGUACGUGCUUGAAAAGUUCGUGGAGGGGAGAACGCUGGACUGGAUGGACACGGAGUUUAAGCCUCAAGAUCCCGAGGGCAAGCUGCCCACUUCCAUGCUGUUCGGGCCGCUGGUCACUCGUGCAAAGUUCUUCCAGCUGUGCUCGCCGGAGGACCUGACGCUGGGACGAUCCCUGAUGAGGGUCAGCUCCAUGUUCGUGGACGACCUGAGACUGCAGCCGCCGCACACCGAGGCCCGCUACGGGUCGGUGCGCAAGGCGUACAUCGUCUUCAAGGACGACCACGCCAUUGUCGAGGCGUUCCAGCGGUGGAUGGUGCACAACUACCCCGUGGAUGAGGUGAUGGAAAUCGACGGCGCGGACCACAUGGCGUUGCUCUCGACGCCGACCGAGCUGGCGCGCUGCCUCGCUCACAUCGCUGUCAAGUAUGCUGCCUGA